This 448-nucleotide ribosomal RNA is filed under the name Phyllodactylus lanei (Lane's leaf-toed gecko). RNAcentral's name for it is "partial 16S ribosomal RNA". It matches the Rfam family "Archaeal large subunit ribosomal RNA", at positions 1941 to 2612 of the family's 2987-position model. Lineage: Eukaryota; Metazoa; Chordata; Lepidosauria; Squamata; Phyllodactylidae. The record is from RNAcentral.
AAGGUCCCGCCUGCCCAGUGAUUCACUUUUAACGGCCGCGGGUACUCUAACCGUGCAAAGGUAGCGUAAUCACUUGCCCCUUAAAUAGGGGCUUGUAUGAAUGGCUAGAUGAGGGCUCAACUGUCUCCUAAGACACCCCAAUGAACCUGCUCUCCCAGUACAAAAGCUGGAAUAACCCCAUAAGACGAGAAGACCCUGUGGAGCUUUUAAACACACUAUCAAGCUGCCCAGCCCGUGAUAGCAACUUUAAGUUGGGGCGACUACGGAGAAAUACAGAACCUCCACGAAAUAAACUAAAACCUGCCCCAGGCUAACAUACCAAAGGCACCCAGCCCUCUGACCCAGUAUAACUGAACACCGGACCAAGUUACCCCAGGGAUAACAGCGCCAUCCCCCUCAAGAGUCCUUAUCGCCAGGGGGGUUUACGACCUCGAUGUUGGAUCAGGAC